Molecule: ribosomal RNA, 259 nt
Filed under: uncultured Rhodobacter sp.
Lineage: Bacteria; Pseudomonadati; Pseudomonadota; Alphaproteobacteria; Rhodobacterales
Description: partial 16S ribosomal RNA
Rfam family: Bacterial small subunit ribosomal RNA
Source: RNAcentral
CGGGAUAGCCUCGGGAAACUGAGAGUAAUACCGUAUGUGCCCCUCGGGGGAAAGAUUUAUCGCCUUUGGAUCGGCCCGCGUUGGAUUAGGUAGUUGGUGGGGUAAUGGCCUACCAAGCCGACGAUCCAUAGCUGGUUUGAGAGGAUGAUCAGCAACACUGGGACUGAGACACGGCCCAGACUCCUACGGGAGGCAGCAGUGGGGAAUCUUAGACAAUGGGCGAAAGCCUGAUCUAGCCAUGCCGCGUGAGCGAUGAAGG